AAAGGAAUUCUGUGGGUUUCUAUAUUGAUGAAGUUAGUUGGAUCUGGGUUUCCCAUAGGGCUGAGGCCGAUGAGACCAGGUGCGUUUGAGAACGGGAUGGUAAUUCGCUGCCUAAUCACCUAAGGAAGAUGAAAAAGGGAAAAAACUGAGAAUAGAUCUAAAAGAUGUAUGAGCAGUAAAAGUAAAAGGGAGAGCUUUAGAUGUUUACCUCUGGGAUAAAGCUCAUGGUCGCUGAUGGGGACACCAUUGGGAAGAAUGAAGUGGGGUGAAGACAAGAGGAAGAUCGCCGGAAGGACGCGACCGGGAGGCAAAAGGGUGCUGGGAUGUGAUGGAAGAUGAUUCGCUGGGGAAAGGAGAGUUACUGAGCUCGUGGAGAAGAAGGAGCGGAGAAUGCUGGUAUUUAAAAACGGUUCGAGAGAAGGGCUAAAGGUGGGAUUUUUACCGCGCCGUCUACACGAAUUUUAGAGGAGCGGUUGUCUCAGGCACCCAGUUCGAAAAGAUUGCAAUCAUAAGGUAGAAGACUGCAGAACCGAAAGGAGUUUUUGCUACGCUUGUCUCGGAGAGAAAGUCAAAAAGAAUUUCAAAGCAAAAGUUAUGUUUUAGUCCAAAAUUGGGGCCCAUGUGUUGAUGCCAGAUUUUCACACGUAUUUUGAAUCGGCGUCAAGGAAGGAAAAGAUUAGCCGAUGCGGUAAGCUAAAAGCUACAGCUGGGAAUCGGUUGAUUAGAGCUACAGUGUUUCGACCAAUUGGCAAAAGGAGUCAGCAAGGAUCGGCCGAUUGGGAGCUAGGGCGGUUUGGCCAGUAUGGGCCUAAAGUCGGCCGAAGAAAAGAUUAGUUAAAGAAGGAGGUUGGCCCGUGGCAUAUGAUAACCAACUUCGAUACGAGGUUUUGUAAAAGACACAUCAAUCUAUACAACAAAUCUACUUACUCCUCGCACUUUACUUUCAAGUUGGCAACUUCGCCAAAAACCUUUUCUUUUCACGAGUUCGUACGGGUUGGCAGGCUACAU
This 1008-nucleotide long non-coding RNA is filed under the name Setaria viridis. Its description in RNAcentral is "long non-coding RNA (SVIR_LNC004460)". The record is from RNAcentral. Lineage: Eukaryota; Viridiplantae; Streptophyta; Magnoliopsida; Poales; Poaceae.